Molecule: ribosomal RNA, 368 nt
Filed under: uncultured organism
Description: bacterial SSU rRNA
Rfam family: Bacterial small subunit ribosomal RNA
Source: RNAcentral
CGUAGGUGGCAAGCGUUGUCCGGAUUUAUUGGGUUUAAAGGGUGCGUAGGCGGUCCUAUAAGUCAGUUGUGAAAUACGGCAGCUUAACUGUCGAGGUGCAAUUGAUACUGCAGGACUUGAGUACAGACGAGGUAGGCGGAAUUGACGGCGUAGCGGUGAAAUGCUUAGAUAUCGUCAAGAACACCGAUAGCGAAGGCAGCUUACUAGACUGUAACUGACGCUGAUGCACGAAAGUGUGGGGAUCAAACAGGAUUAGAUACCCUGGUAGUCCACACUGUAAACGAUGAUUACUCGAUGUUGGCGAUACACAGCCAGCGUCUUAGCAAAAGCGAUAAGUAAUCCACCUGGGGAGUACGCCGGCAACGGUG